Molecule: small RNA, 54 nt
Filed under: Arabidopsis thaliana (thale cress)
Lineage: Eukaryota; Viridiplantae; Streptophyta; Magnoliopsida; Brassicales; Brassicaceae
Description: ATSL106960
Source: RNAcentral
GAAGAAGAAGAAAAAAAGAGGAGACUAGAAGCAAAUGGAUUGUUUUGGACAGAA